RNAcentral lists this long non-coding RNA (20754 nucleotides) under Gossypium barbadense (sea-island cotton). RNAcentral describes it as "long non-coding RNA (GBAR_LNC004764)". The record is from RNAcentral. Lineage: Eukaryota; Viridiplantae; Streptophyta; Magnoliopsida; Malvales; Malvaceae.
GUGUUUGUACUGGCGUUAUGAGACAGUAUACUGCAGAACUCGAGUUCUAUUGCAGAGGGCUCCCUUUAGUUUCAGCUUUUUAUGCUUGCUCAGAAGCUAUUUGUGGGAUUAACUUAGAGCCUCUAUGCAAACCCUGUGAUGUCUCCUACACAUUUCUCCCUAACAUGGCUUACUUUGAAUUCAUUCCUGUGGAAAAUGAACAUGAUGAAUCUAUUGAAAUGAAGAGGAACGAUGAAGAUACUGAACUUGUUGAUCUUGUAAAUGUGAAGGCUGGCCAAUGUUAUGAACUAGUUGUUACAACUUGUGCAGGUAAGAGUUCCUCUUUUGAAUAUAAUCAAUUAAUCAAAUGCCAUGUUCUGAUUUUGAAUUAUGCUUCCUAGUUCCUGCAGUAACCUGUUAGAUAAUGAUCUAAUCUAGUUUGAUGGUAUUCCUUUCAGGAUUAUAUCGAUAUAAAGUUGGAGAUGUACUUAUGGUGAGUGGUUUCUACAAUAAUGCACCUCAAUUCCAAUUUGUGGAGAGGAAAAAUGUUAUCCUCAGUGUUGAUCAGGAAAAAACAAGCGAAACAGACCUUUCCAAGGCUGUGACAGAAGCAAAGGCUCUUCUCGAUCCACUUGGAUUCAUCUUGACCGAGUACACUAGCUAUGUUGAUACUUCUUCAGCACCAGGUCACUAUGUCUUAUUUUGGGAGAUCAAGGGAAAAGAAGGCAAGCAUUGCAAAGAACUUGACCCAAAGAUAAUGGUAGAGUGUUGCUCUAAAAUGGAAGAGUUAUUGCAUUAUACAUAUAAAAUCUAUAGGAAAAGGAACAUAAUUGCAGCUGUGGAGAUUAGGGUGGUAAAGCAAGGAAGUUUUGAGGCACUAAUGGAUUACUAUGUGUCCAAAGGAACUUCAUUGAGCCAAUACAAAAAACCUAGUUGCAUUAAAUCUGAGGAAGCCUUGAAGAUAUUAGAUUCAAGAGUGAUAGGAAAGUAUUUCAGCCCCAAAUUACCGUUAUAAUUAGUUUGCAUCAGUUCUUGUUUAAGAUUACCUAAUCCUAGCUAAAACGUAUGUCGACAAGUCUAUUCCGACAUUUAAAAAAGUGUCAGCUUAAAAGUAUUAUCCUAAUAUUGUUUUAUUGUGGUGAGAUAUUGAAUAUAUAAAACAGUGAAAUCAUAAGCUCAUUUUUUAGAAUUCUAAAUUUCCAAUCAUUUUAAAGAAUAUCAAUAAUUAAUUUAAAUUUAUUUUAAUCAACUUAUUUUUUCUUAAUUUAUAUCUAUCAUAAUAUAUAUCAUCUUAAUAUUAAAAAUUAAAAAUUAAACAUUUAUAUUAUUUAUUUUACUUUCGCAAUCAUAAUACUGAAAAAUUAUAAAAUUUUUAACUAAUAAAUAUAAAAUUUUAAAUUUGAUAUAUACAAUCUAAUCCGUGCAUCGCAUGGGAUAAAAAACUAGUUUCAUUCUAAAAUCGAGUCUCUUAAAGCAUUUUUAAACUCAAACCACUAAUCUAAAACUUAAUAUUUCCAUAUAAGCUUUCAAUUUUUUUUCUUUUUGUAUUGGUACUAGCUUUUUUACCUCAUUUUUCAUAAAAUUUUAUAAAAAAAUAUUUAAUAACAUAAAUGUUUCAUUCAUUAAUUUGGAUAUAUUAUAUUAAAAUUAUUUAAAAUUUAAAUAUAAAUUUAUAUGUUCAUAAAAGUGGAAAAAAAUUCAAAAGUAAUAUUGCACCAUGAAAUAGAUAAAGAGUUUAUACUUUAAAUAAACAAUUGUGAUGUUAUAUUCAUUUCAUUGAUUAAUAAAUUUGCUUGAUUUAAUUAAAGUAAAUAAAAAAAUUAAAAGUGAAAAUAUAUUAAAUAUGUAUUAAUUAAAUUUUUUGUUCGCCUGAACUAAAUUUCAAUUAAAUAAUUUUUAAAAUAUUUUUAUUUAAAUUUAAUUAUAAUAAUAUAAAUUUAUAUAUUUUAUUAUUUUAAUAUUUUAAAUUAUUAAAAAUGAAAUAAAUGUACAAGAAAAUUCUAUUUUUCCUAAAGAUUGCACUCUUAUUUUAUUCUUAAUUAAAAUGAGGAGAAAUAAUAUACUUGUUUUAUUUUAAAAAAUGUAAGUUAAAAUAAUAUUUAUUUUAUUGUAUUCAUAAAUUAUUAAAAUUUAAUUCUAAAAAUAGAACUCAAUUCUCUCCACUACAGAAUAUUUUUUUAAUUAUAUUUAAAGUGGAUCCUAGUGUUUUUAAUUAAAUUUAUUAUAUCCCUCUAGCUUUGUACACGAGUCAGCAUAACAAAUCACUUGAGAAGGCAGUUCUCUAUUUUCUAUUACCUGAGUAGUCAUCGAAUGACUCACAUCUCGAAAGGCAUGCCUCUAUUCAACUCUUCAAUCUUUUCGUAAGAAUUAUGGUCUCUUGAGAAUAAGUUGUUUAUUGUUGUGAACGAAUUACACGUUCCCUUCAAAAAAACCUUGUCUAUUCGUCUUUGUAAAUAGGCCACCCUAUAUAUGAAUGAAUAAAAAUAUUCUCUUAUAAUUAUAAUUAUAUUUAUUUAAAUAUUAAUAAAGUAUGUUUCACAUACAUUAUUUAAAUAAGGGUUGUCUGAAUUAUUUUAAUCAAAAGUUAAAGGGCACCUUAGUCAAUAUAUAUUAAAAAUAUUAUCUUAAAAGUAGUCAUGAUUGAAUCUUAAACAAAGUAAGAUAAAUUUAUGACAUGAAAUUAUAAAAAAUCAUAUCAACUAAACCUCUUUCCGCCUAAAAUUAGUUGUUACAUUGGCUUUUGAAGAUUGUAAGAGGCAAAAAUUGGUACUAAAUUACAUUAAAUUCAAUUUUCUCAUAGUUGUUUUAUAUUUAUAUUUACUCUUUCGAGAAAAGUUUUCGUAGUGUCAUUUUCAAAGAUGUCGAUUUAGUCCCUCAAUAAAAGUAUAAUCUUUUUGGGAAGGUUUUAUCCCUCUUUACAGAGAGUAGUAUACAUUUCACGAAGGGAAGCGCUUCAAUCGUAUGUGGGACGUAUGACUAGGGGUGAGUAUUCGAUCGAGACAAGUCGAAUCGAGUCAAAAAUUUUCGAGUUAGUUGAUUUAACAAAUCCUAUUUUAGCAAUCGAACUCAAUUUGAAUUUUUUUCGAAUCAAAUCGAAUUGAGUCAAAAAAUUUCGAGUCAAAUUGAGUCGAGUUAACGAAUCCUAUUAUUGAUACUUAAUGUUGCGUUUAGAUGGACAGAUUAUUUAACUAGUAGACGAAGUACAAGAUUAUUUAACUGCAUAAACAAUAUAAUGAUUUUGCCUUUUAACUUAAUGGGUAAACAUUUAUCAAAACGACGUAGCUUUGCCUUUUAACUUAAUUAUUUUGAAUUUUAACUUUUAAAAAAGUAAACAUUUAUCAAAACGACGUAGUUUUGUCUUUUCUUAUUCGAAUUUUCAGAUAACUCAAAUUGUGUAAUUCAUAUUUGAGUUAAACCGAAAAACUUAAUUUUUUAUUCGAGUUGAUUCGAAUAACUUGAUUAACUCAAAUAACUCGAACUAUUUAAUUCAAAAUUAGAAUUUUUUAUCGAGUUUUUCGAAUCGAAUCAGAUUUUGCUCACCCUUACGUACGACUACCCAUUAAGAGGUGAAUACGUCUCAUGUACAGUUGAGGCGUUCUCUUUUAUGAACCGUACACACAUAAUUCUUAAUUAUGGAAAAAAUAAUUUUAUUUAACAUUAAUAACUACACAAAAUUCCAUUUAAUUAUUAUACUACAUAUACUUAAUAAUCCCGCGUGUUGGCCUAGUGGUCAAGGUAAUCACUGCCCCAAAAGUGAUCUGGGUUUGAUUUUAUACAAUUAUUGUUAUGCUAAUAUUGUAAUAAAUGAUACAAUAAUAUUUUAAUUAAAGUAAACACACAUUUUCAAGAUAUUGCAUAUGUUAAUUAAUUAUUAUUUAUUUUCUAAAAUUAGACUAAUAACAAUAUUUUCAAACAACUAUUUAGAGUAGGUAUUGAAUAUAGAAAAUUUUGAAAUUACUACAUUUGAUUAAAAUCCUGUCUAAAAGACAACAAAAUGAAGCAAGGGAAAAAAUAAGGAAACUUUAAGUUUUUCUUUUUUAUUUUUCAACUACCCUAUUCUAUCACAAGACUAAAACUUUAGUUUGACAAAUUGUACGGCCUUAGGCGAUUUUUUUUUGUUCAAAUCUGUCUAAAUCAACCUUACUCUUGAAAAAGUGAGAAUUCUGCCAAAAAUUCUCUAAGGCAUCGAAAUAAAGCGAAAACAACUCGGAAAUACAAAUGGACUUGAGUCGAACAGAAAAGCCACAAGAAAAUAAUAGUACAACAAGCGUUUGAGUAAAUGCUCUAAAAAAUAUUCUUUAACUCAAUAAUAUUGUACAACGGAUGAAGUGAUUAUGAAUGAGGGGAAAAACCUCUAUUUAUAGUUAAGCUUCCCUAGAUCCAAUAAUACAAAUUGAAUUACAUCGACGAUUAAGAUUAGUGUUUAUCUAUAAGAUGAGAGUCCUAAAUUGUUUAAACUCUAUACAUUUUUAUCCUUUAGGAUUUACAAUAAUUACCUUGAUAACUCUAGUUUAAUUAGGGUGUUUCACUAGACCACUAAGAUUUCAAGUGAAUAGACUUCUUCAUGUGUUACACGAAUUGAACCAAUUCAAAUGAGUUCUAUUUAAUUAGUUGAUUUCCAUGGGAUAAUUUGCUUGCAUUUCGUCAUGGGCUUUGAUACAACGACUUGUGACAUCCCAUUACACAUGAAAAAAAAAAAAAGAAAAAAAAAGAAAAGAAAGAAUUGCCUUUUAUAUAUGGGAAACGUGGAGGGGUUAUUUGCAACAAUAACUCCUCAGUGUUCUUAAUUUAUUCUAUCAAUGGCUUUUGCCUUUUUAAUUUUCUCAUUUAGUCCCCACCAUUUAAAACAUUAUAUAAUUUUAGAAAUAUGUUAAUAAUAUUAACUAUUUUAGUCUCUAUAAAUUUUAUGUUACUUAAGAAAAGGAAUUUAUCUUAUUUAAUUUUAAUUUUUUGAACCAUUAAUUUUCAUUUUAACUUCUAAUAUCAUGCUUUUAUGAAUUUACAUAAAAUUUUAAAAUUUAUGACUCUUUUAAAAAAAUACUUCUACAUAGGAGAGAAUACAAACAUUCUCUUAUAAAAAUAAUUAUAUUAUUUAAAUAUUAAUAAAGUAUUUUUCGCAUUCAUCAUUUAAUUUUUUUAUUAAAAAGCGACAACGAUUGUCUGAAUUAUUUUGUAAAUAGAACUAUGACGAAUUUUGUCUCUCAUUAAAUCAUUUUCUUUAAUAUAUAUUUAUAUAUUUAUUAAUUUUAAUAGAAAUAUAUUUUAAUCAACAAAAAUUUUUAAUAUUUAUCCCGUAAUAUUUUAAUAUUAAAAAUAAAAAAAAGAGUAGAAUCAAAGUGAAUGAGUAUUUUUUUUUUGUGAAAUUUCAACCGUGUUUUGAUGAGUUUGGAUGUGUAAAAAUUAACUUCUAAAUUUUUGGUUUUUGUCUUGCUGCAAUUGGUGUUUUAUACGAUUUAUUUAUUUAUAAUUAUUAUUAAGAAAAUUUUAAAAAUAUUAAAAUGAUUUUUUAACAAUAGGUCAUGGAGCAAUUAGCUAUUAACCCUUUAUAUUAAGGUGCAUCGUUAUUUUUUUAACGGAAGUUAACAUUCGAGUGAUAAAAAAUGUAACAAUUUGAUAACGUUUGUAAUAGCCUAUUUUUGCCCGGCCCAUUCCAGUAUUUAAAAUAAUAAACCCCCAAAAUAAAAAUAAAACAAAGUCCAAGUCCAGUAUAAAAUUACAAAUAUAUAAUUUGGCCCAAUCGGAAUGGCCCAUUACUUGAAAAGAUUUAAGGUCCAUCUAUAAGCUUGACUCAUAUGAAAAUAUAAUCUUUAAGGAUAUGCAAUCUUAGAUAUGAUACAAUCUUAGAUAUGAUAUGCAAUCUUAGAUAUGAUAUGCAAUCUUGAAGAUAUGAUCUUGUAAUCUUGGAGAUUUAAUUUGUAGAUAUCCUUUAAUCUUAACCGUUGAUGUAAUUGAUCUGUAUCGUUGGAUUUGGGGAGGCUCAAUUAUAAAUAGAGGCCUUUCCCUUCAUUGUAACACACUGGAGUUUUGGGAAGCAAUAAGAAUUUUUGAAAGCAUUCACUCAAAUUUCUCUCCCUCUUGCGUUCUUACUCUCUGUGGUUUGUUCUUAUUUUAUUCUUCGUCUAUCUUAGUUUUUCAACCUUUUUUUAUUUUAAUUUCUUCAUUUUUCAAAUAUGUAUAUUUAUUCCUAUCUUUUAUACAUUUGAUUAUGUAUUUUAUAUAUUAUAAUUUUAACCUUUUUAUAUAGUUUAUUUUCAAAUAUAUAUUUUCUAUGCAUAUAUAUAUAUUAUAUUAUCAUUUCAUGUAUUUUGAGCUAUUGCAUUAUAUUUUUAUAAUUUGUAAAUGUUCUAUUUAUUCAUUUUUUUGUGUAUGUCAUUUAUCUUAUUUGUGCAUAGUUUCAUUUUUUUUAUAAGCCAUGUUUAAUUAUUUCUUUUAUAUGUUAUUUUAUGAUAUAUAUUGUUGUAUAAUUUUUGCAUGUAUUAUGUUUUUCUUUUAGUUUACUCAUGUUUUUAUUUGUUUAUUAUCUUAUAUUUACCCUAGUAUGAUUUUUUCAUUAAACGUAUGUUCAUGUUAUUUAGUUUUGUCAUAAUGAUAUUAUUUAUGUUUGUAUGGAAAUGUUAGAAUAUUUUGUACAUCUAUGCUUCAUGAUGCAUUAGUAUGUCAUCCUAAAACGUCAUUUAGAAAUAAUAUUCCAAGGUUUUUUUAAAAAAAAUUAAAAGGCAAUGCUUGAUGUUUGGAAACUUCGAGAAAGAUAGUGCCCUAACUUACUGGGUUGCGACUUUUCUCGUUGAAUUUGAAUAGUCAAGCACCCUUCUAAGUGAUUUUGAGUUUUCAAAACUUAAAUAAUUAUUUCAAGAUUUCAAAACAUAGUGUCCUAACUUACUGGAUAUGACGUUUUGUUGUUUCGAGAUAGAAAUUUUUGAAAGACGACCUUAGUUUCGAAGGUUUUAAAAUGUUGCAUUCUAACUUACUGGAUGUGAUGUUUUGACUCGUUUGAAAUAAGUGAGCCUUAAUUUUCAAAAUUGAGAUAUUCUAAUUAAAAGAGGUUUGCAUCUUAAAACUUUCAAAUUUCGGACAUUAAAGACACUUGAUAAUCAAUUAGGUACCAAUUUUUAGGCGUUACGAGGGUGCUAACCCUUCCUCGUACGUAAUCGACACCCGAAUCCGUUUUCUCGACUUUCGUAGACCAAAAUUAAUGUUUUAAAACAAAACAUUUUAUAAGGUGAUCCAAUCACACCUAAAAAGAUUGGUGGCGACUCCCGUUUUCGUUUUUCUUAAAGUCGAUUCUCAUUUUCCAAAACUCGAUUUAAAAAUAGUUUCGACAAUGUUAAUGACUAUUAUAUAAUUUUUAAAAAUUGAGUGACUAAAAUAUACUUUUAAACAAAGUAUAGGGACAAUUGAUACAAUUUACUCUAUAUAAAAAUUUAUUUUAUUUAUUCUAGAAGUUUGUGGAGAUUUGGAUUUAUCUCAAUUUUUUUAUUUCAAGGUGGGAUAGUAUUUCACGUAAUUUAUUAGAAAAUCAAAUAUGUACCACAAAAUGUUUUAUCAAAUAAUAAUUGUAGAUAAAGACAAUUUUUUUAUGAUUUACUAAUUAACCCCCUUUGUUGGGUUUUUAUUUUAUUUUAUUUUAUCAUUCUUUUAAUUAAUUGAAAAUUGUUAAUAAAAGAUAAAAACACUAAAAACCGUAUUAAAUUUUUAUAUAAUUUUUAAAAAAAUAAUAUAUCAAAAAUAUUAGAAACAAUAGAAUAAAUAUUUCUCAACAAAUUAAAAAUAAAAUUUAAAAAAAUUAUGUAUACUUAAAACAAAACUAAAAUAAGUAUAACUUAAUAAGUAAAUAAAUCUAAAAUAGUAACAAAAUUAAUAAUAAAAUAAAAAUUAUAUAAUAAUAAUAAAAUAAUAACAAUAUAAUAAAAUACUAAUAAAAUAAUGAAAAAAAACUAAGAAAUUAACAAAAAAGAAGAAGAACUAGUAAAAGACAGCAUAUAUGAGCCACACUUAAGUUGAAAAAACCUUACCUAAUAUUUGACCGUUUUUUAAAACGAGCCUAUUUUUUACCCAAACCUAUUUUUAAAAAACUUUUUUGGGUUGUCAGGCCGACCGGUCUACUCUAGUCGAAUAUAUCUUAUUACAAAUAAAAAAGACCUUAAUAUAUGUUUAGCGUAAGUGGAGAUUGCAUUGCAAAUAGCUAGAACAUCCCGCAAAGAAGAAAACAAAAAAAGUUGCCUCCAUCCGUCCAUCUCAUCCUUUAACCGUCUAGGGAUCAAUAAUAGAGUUGAUGGCAACGAAUGGGUAUGAAUGUGAGUUGAAGAUGAUUGAGGAACUGACCACAAAUGCUGAGCAAAUUCAAGACGAGGUAUUGGGGGAAAUAUUAAGUCGAAAUGCAGGAACAGAGUAUUUAAGGGGAUUCCUCCAUGGUCAAACCGAGAAGCAGCUCUUUAAGAAAAAUGUUCCCAUAGUUACUUAUGAAGAUCUCAAGCCUUACAUAGAUAGGAUUGCUAAUGGGGAGACAUCAGAUAUCCUUUUAGCUGAACCCAUUACAGGGUUCUUUCUAAGGCAUGCAUGAAUUUGUUGCUUUGCUUCUGUGUGUUUUGGGAUAUUGUUUGCUUCCUUCUAAUAGUUCUAUCAUCUGUUUGAUCAAAUGCAGCUCUGGGACUUCAGGCGGGCAGCCAAAGCUGAUGCCUGUCACUGCUGAAGUUGGUAAUAAGUGGGAUUUAUUUCGUCGCUUGUACGAGUCUCCUGUGAUAAAGUAAGGAACCCAUCCCUAUUUUCUUCUAGUUUUUCUUUCAGCUGCUUGUGAAUAUAUGUAUAUAAGUUACCAUAUUAAGCAAAUACAUAUAAUAUGAAUAUAUGUAUCAUAUACCACGCAGAUAGUAACACCCGUAUUUUGUAAAUACUACUUAUACAUCUAUAGAUAUAAUAUACAUAGUUGCUUUUCUUGCUUUUUGCAUUUACAACGGCAACUCAGUGCUAAAACUAUUUGCCUUUAUCCGUCUAAUUUUAAAGGCACUUUGAUGACAUCAACCAAGCCGGUAAAAGAUUGGAGCUUAUGUUUGCCAGACCAGAGAUUGAAACUCCUAGUGGCCUCAAGGCAGCAUCUGUUUCAACGAGCAUAUACAGCGGGAGUAAUUUUAGAACCAGUUUGCCUAAGCUUUACACAAGUCCCGUUGAGACCAUCUUUUGCCCAGACCCCAACCAGGGCUUAUACUGUCAAUUACUUUUUGGUUUAAUCCAACGAGACGAGGUUGUCAAGGUUGGUUCAGUCUUUGCAUCUACGGUGUUAAGAGGUAUCAAGUUUCUAGAAAAUCACUGGCAAGAGCUAUGCUAUGACAUAAAAACAGGUCGAUUAAGUGAUUGGAUCACCGACUCAGGAUGCAGAAAUGCAGCAUCAUUGGUCAUGAAGCCUAAUCCAGAACAGGCUGAUUUGAUAGAAAAUAUAUGUAAUUGUAAAUCAUGGGAAGGAAUAAUCAGAAAGCUAUGGCCUAAAGCAAGGUAUAUUUGUUGCAUAUGUACUGGCAUUAUGAGACAGUAUACUAUAGAACUCGAGUUCUAUUGCAGAGGGCUCCCUUUAGUUUCAGAUCUAUAUGCUUGCUCGGAAGCUAUUUGUGGGAUUAACUUAGAACCUCUACGCAAACCUUGUGAUGUCUCCUACACAUUUCUCCCUAACAUGGCUUACUUCGAAUUCCUUCCAGUAAAGAAUGAACGUGAUGGAUCUAUUGAAAUGAAGAGCAACAAUGAAGAUACUGAACUUGUUGAUCUUGUAAAUGUGAAGGCUGGUCAGUGUUAUGAACUCAUUGUCACAACUUGUGCAGGUAAAAUUUCCUGUUUUGAAUAUAAUCAAUUAAUCAAAUGCCAUGUUCUAAUUUGCAUUAUGCUUCCUAGUUCCUACAUUAACCUGUUAGAUAAUGAUCUAAUCUAGUUUGAUGGUAUUCCUUUCAGGAUUAUAUCGAUAUAAAGUUGGAGAUGUUCUUAUGGUGAGUGGUUUCUACAAUAAUGCACCUCAAUUCCAAUUUGUGGAGAGGAAAAAUGUUAUCCUAAGUGUUGAUCAGGAAAAAACAAGCGAAACAGACCUUUUCAAGGCUGUGACAGAAGCAAAGGCUCUUCUCGAUCCACUGAGACUCAUCUUGACAGAGUACACUAGCUAUGUUGAUACUUCUUCAGCACCAGGUCACUAUGUCUUAUUUUGGGAGAUCAAGGGAAAAGAAGGCAAGCAUUGCAAAGAACUUGACCCAAAGAUAAUGGUAGAGUGUUGCUCUAGAAUGGAAGAGUCAUUGCAUUAUACAUAUAAAAUCUACAGGAAAAGGAACAUAAUUGCAGCUUUGGAGAUUAGGGUGGUAAAGCAAGGAAGUUUUGAGGCACUAAUGGAUUACUAUGUGUCCAAAGGAACUUCAUUGAGCCAAUACAAAAAACCUAGUUGCAUUAAAUCUGAGGAAGCCUUGAAGAUAUUAGAUUCAAGAGUGAUAGGAAAGUAUUUCAGCCCCAAAUCACCGUUAUAAUUAGUUUGCAUCAGUUCUUGUUUAAGAUUACCUAAUCCUUCCUAUGUAUAAAAACUCAGGAGAAUAAUCCUUUUCACUUUAUUGUGUAGGAAUACAUUAAUGUUUGGUAAAGUUAUUAAUGUCUUGUUUCGAACUCAAAGGCAAGCAAUUGUUACAGUUACACACGUAUUCUCAUGUAAUUUUCUUAUGAAUCGUUUGAUACAUUGUGGGAAAGUUGAUAUGGCAACAUCAAAGGGCUUUAUAUGCAUGGAAGAACAUAUUUGGGAUAUUUCUUAACGUAGUGCCUGAUGCUCUCUAUAAGGUAGGUAAAGUGGAAGAAGUUGUAGAAUUGAUUGAUGAGAUAAAGGGUAAUUUCCCCCUGAUAUUAUUUACUACACCACUUUAAUCAAUGGAUAUUUUCUUCAAGGUAUAGCUAAAGAUGCAUUGAAUUCAAGGUAUAGCUAAAGAUGCAUUGAACUUGUUCAAGUAGAUAAUGGAGAAUAGUCACAAGCCUUUGAUAUUGUUUCUUACGGUGUCUUUGUUAGGGGCUUAGCUAGAACUGCUCUUACAGAAGAGGUGAUCAAUCUUUGGGAUUAUGUAGAGACGCAAGGUUUGAAGUGUAACACUAUCAUGCACAACAUGGACAUUAAAGGUUGACAUUAAAGGUUUAUGUAAAAGUGGGAAGGUGAAGGAAGCUGAAGCCUUCUUACAUACGAUCAAUUUUGAGGAUUAAUUGUUACGAUCAAUUUUGAGGAUUAAUUGUUACACCUCAAACCUGACUCGAGAGUCCAGUCAAAUUCGAAGCGUUACAAUAAUUAUUGGAAUGAUGCACUCAAUCAAUCAUUCAAUUAAUGUGAUUAACCAAUUAAUUCAUUUUAAUAAAUUUGAUUAUCAAAUUUAAAAUAAAAGAACUCAAAUAAAUUAAUUUUUCAAUUCAAACAUACAAGGAUCGCUUGCCUUAAACUAAAUAUUUAACCAAUAUGAAAAUAACCCACAAAUCCAAUGGACCUAAAUACAUGCCAAAGUUAAACUAAGUGAAAACGUUAUCACAAACUAAGGAUUGCAAGGACUCUUUGGUAAUGCUAUUCGAUCUAAAACUUAAAAAUCAUCUAUAAUUGGUGUACGGAAUUAAAAAUCCAAACGCUAAGCAAUUUAUAGCUUAGUGGUGAUAUAAUACAUUUUAAACUACCUAUACUUAUAGUAAAAUAAAAACAUUCUAAUAAGAUAUACAUAUAUCUAUCUCUACUUGGAAUUAAAAACCAAAUAUAUCACAAGCAAUUAAACACCUAAAUUAACUUAGCUAACCGAUAUCCAAUAUCAACAACUAUUUGAGUGAGCGAUCAGCGGCUAUUUUGACGAUGGACCAGCAAUAUUUUGGAGGCAAGCAAUGGGGCAAUAAACAAGGCUUUCGGAUGAAGAUUUGAUGGCAAUUUGGAGGCACAUUUCAGGGGUUAGCCAAUUCUUACAUAAAUAAAAAUCCUAAUCUAAAAAUAAACUACAAUCCCAAUUUUUUAGGGUUAGCCAAAAAAAAAAAUCCCUAAUUUGAUUGUAUAAUAUAAUAUUUUGGGAAGUUUACCAGUCAAAUAUACAUAUAUUUGGUAAGGGAGAAACAAAGCAAGUUUUCCAGCAAAACAUAUGUAUAUUAAAAUAUUGUAUGUAAGCUAACAUUGGGUUGCCUAUUGUAGGGUUGGUGUUAUUUUGGUGGCAAUUUUUUAUUUUCAUUUUCUUCUCUUUUCAUUUUCCAUUUGAAAUAUAUGCUUCGACUGAUUAAAAAAUUGUUUCUAAAAAUCCUGUGUGUUGGCCUAAUUGCAAUAAUGUUCAUUUAAGUUCAAGUCGCGUUGCUAUUACGGCUUUAUCCUCCUCUUAUAAUCCAACCAAGAAAAUAAAGUUAUUUUCAAUCUUUUGAAUUUUGGUUAAGUUAAUACUAAAUUUUUAUAUUAUGCUGAUUACUAAAAUUAAUCUUUUUUAUUUGUUAUUGAAUUAUAUUCAUAAUUUUCAAACGAAACUUAAAUCUUAAUUAAUAAAUUAGAGAAUGAAUUAAAGUUUAUGAAUUAAUGUUGCAAUUUUUUAUUUUGUUUUAUAUAAAUUAAGAUAUAUUAAAAUAUUUUUUAAAAAAAUUUGAAGCGUUCCACUUAAAAUUUUAUAAAAAUAUUUAAUAACAUAAAUGUUUCAUUCGUUAGUUUGGAUAUAUUAUAUUAAAGUGGUUUAAAAUUUAAAUAUAAAAGUUAUAUGUUCAUAAAAGGAAAAAAGAAAAUCAAAAUUAAUAUAAAUAUAUUAUAUUCAUUUCGUUGAUUAAUAAAUUUGCUUGAUGUCAUUGAAGUAAAUACAAAAAAAAGAAAAGAAAAGAAAAGAAAAGAAAGUGAAAGUAUAUUAAAUAUGUAUUAAUUAAAUUUUUUUUCUUCGGCCUGACUCAAAUUUCAAUUAAAUAAUUUUAAAAUAUAUUUAUUUAAAUUUAAUUAUAAUAUUAUAAAAUUAUAUAUUUUAUUAUUGUAAAUUAUUUUUGACAAAAAAGGACCCGAAGGUCACUACCUUAAAUUAUAUUGCAUCCAAAAUAACAAUGUUAUGGAUAUUGUUAGGAUAAUUCAUUUCAAAAUUCAAGUUCCAACACUUAGAAAGAGACCAAUUACAAAGCGAAUCAGCUAAUUUGUUACAACCACGAUUUACGGAUUCGAGCAACUUGCGAGCUUCCUUGAUAUGAUGCCCAAUAAUCGUGAUGUCCUCCUUAUGGUAACAAAAGCGGUUGACAAUGCUUGCACAAUCCAUUUCAAAGAUGACUUUAUCAACGUUGAGAAUGUGAGCAAGCCGAAAGCCGUCGAUGAGAGCAUCCAACUCCGCCUGCUCAGGGCUAACCACUUUGUUGAAGAAAGACGCUUUAUUGCUCAAAACAAAGCCAUCGGAAUCUCUAGCGAUGAUGCCCAAGCUUGUGCCAUAAGAAUUCACGGCAACAUCAACAUUAACUUUUAUUACCCCUUUCGUCGGCUUUUCCCAUCUACAACAUCUAGGGACUCGGGAUAAGAUCAGUUGAGAAGAAAGAUUGUGAAUCUGGAAAUCAUUGUUGAGUUUACGGGCACGCUCCCGAAUCACAUUCGCAUCCUCCUCCUUACCUCUAAAGAUGGCACUGUUUCUACCAUUCCACAUAUUCCACAAUGUAGGAAUCAAAUCUUGGAAGACUUUUUUGUCUAAAAUCCGCAUGGAGCCUUCAAUCCAAUCGAUGCAAAAAUCACAAUAAAAAUAUUGAAAACAACCAAAGUGAAUAGAUAAUUACUAAUUAUGUUAUAAAAAAACAAAGAUUAAGUGAUAAUAGAUUAACUUUCAAACCACAAUUAAUACUACAAAUUAAUAACAUUAUCCAAGUGCAUAAUUAGUAGUAUAUCACAUGAUAUACUACAAUAUUUUUCAAGUGCAUAACUAGUAUUACACCACAUAAUUAGUACUACACCAUAUUAAAGCAUCAAUAUCUUCAAUUUAGAGAAAAUUUUUGAAGCCAAAUUUUUUUAUGCUUCGUACUUUUAGCUAAAAAAGCUUUGGCCUUAGAUUUACAACCCACAAGAUAAUCAAAUACACUACAAAGGAAGUCGUCAUUAAAUCUUUCUAACUCCAUCCACAACACUUCUUCAUAAGGAAUAUCUCAAACAAAGGAACACUAACUGAUGCAAUAGCAAGCUGCUUGACAUAAAAGAGAAUCAAUCAAACAAGGUCAUAAAACAAUCAUUGAAAUUACAAAUCAAUAAGUAUGAGCAAGAAGUAUAAGAAAACUUGAGCCAAUUCAAAAUGUAUAAACAAGAAAUGCUCGUAACAGCAACACAAAUACAUGUACAAACCAACAAACAAAUGAUCUAUAAUACAUAUGAAAAAAGGGAGUGAUUACCUAGGACACAAAAUUAAACACUAUCAUUCAAUUGAAUCAAAAUACAUCUACAAACCAACAAACAAACUUAAACUUAUACUAAAAUAAACGAUGAAAUUCUCUUUUAGAAAAUACAAAGGUAUUAGUUGUUUUGUUGUGAUCAUGAAUCUAUUUACAAUAUCAGAUAUGGUUUUGUUAUUUGUUUGUUAUUAUGUGAAGGAAUACCAUUUAGUAUAACACUACCUUAAAAAUAAAACGAAUAUAGAGUCCAAAACUAAGGAAGUUGAUGUUAAUAAAGAAAAAUGCUUGGUAAGCCAAUGACAAACUAUUGCAAACAAAAACAGUUACAACCUAUAACAUCAAAAUUAAGAAAAGAAAGAUAGAUAGAGACAUUGAAGCAGGAAGUGACAAACACAACAAGCAAAACCACUUAAGUUUCGGGUUUUAAGAGCACUAAAAUCUAACCUCCAACCUUAGUAGAUCUAAGAGAGAAAAAGAAACACCUGUAUUACAAAAGCUAUUUGGCUUCAGCUUGAAAAAACUUGAAUUCAUCUUGACCAUCGUCAAAUCAAGCUCGAGCUAGAGAAAGAGCUGAAUUUGAGUAUUUGAGUCAAGCAUUUUAAGAGCUUAAUCGAGCUUUUUCUUUUUAAUUACUAUUGUUUCUAUUUGAAUCCAAACUUGAGUAUAAAAACUGUGUAAUAUCAUGUUUUUCAGUGGUGUCGAAAACAGUGAUUUCAGGGUCACCAAAUCCGACGAGUAAGUUCGUAAAUAUUAUUAUUUAAUAUUUACGAGACAAGUGUGAUUUUUAACAAAGUUUUUGAUUUGAUAAUUUAUGUUAUAUAAGUGAUUUAUUAAGUUCAAGUGGUUUUAGAAAAUAAGGUAUUGGGGCCUUUUUUUUAUAAACUGAGCCGUAAAUAUUUUUAUAAAUAUUUACGGAGUGUCAUUUAGGUGGUAUUAAAGUUUCGUUAAGAAAUUUUAACGUUUCGAUUGUUAAUUAAUUAAAAAGGACGAAAUUAAAAAAAAGUGCAUUCCCGAGACUCCAUUUCUGUAAAUCGGACUUGUAAGUUAGUUGUGUAGUUAAUUAGGUUUCAGUUAAGUGAAUUUUCUUGAAUUAAAAGUAAUUAAGUAUAAGAACUAAAUUGCAUAUAGAGUAAAAAUUGAAUUAUAGAUUAAAGAAAAAUUAAAAAGACUAAAGAAGGAAUUAUGCCAUUGCCUUUAGUUAAGGCGGCAUAAGUUGUAAUAUAAUAUAUAUUGUAUAAAAUAUAUUUACUUAAUAUGUAAGUAUAUAUUUUAUAAUUAAUAAUAAAAUAAAUAAAGAAUAAAUAAAAAGAAAGAAAGAUAGAAACGAAACAGAAAGAAAAAGAAAGAAAGAAAAAAAAAGGAAAGAAAUGAAAGAGAAAGCCACGGCCUUAGGGGCUUUAAUUAUUCAAAGUUCAAUUAGUUAGUUAAUUUAGUCCAUUUUUCUUUUAAUUUUUAUGUUUUUGGAAUUCCGGUAUUAGAUACUACUCGAUUCAUGUCAAAAUUUUGGAAAUUAUUGAGUUUUUAAAUGUUGUUUAUGUUGAAUAAUUUGAGUCUUAGGGAUUAAAUUGAUAGAUUUUUAAGUUAGAAAUGAAAAAGGAUUGAAUUGUAGAAUAAAUUGAAAAGUUUGAGUAAUAAGGACUAAAUUGUGAAAAAUUCAAAAUUUAGGGAUUGAAGUGAAAUUAUGGAAUUAAAUAUAGUUUAGAGUGGAAAUUGAAUGAAAAUAUAGAAUUAAAUGUGAAAAAAUAAAGUUAGUCUCGGUUUAGGGGCUAAGUUGGAAUUUAGGCAAAUAUUGAGUAAAAAUUGAAAUUUUCAAUAUGAAAUUGAAUUGUGUUUUAUUGAUGAAUUUUGAUUGUUUUAAUUCCAUAACUAACAUCGUAUUAGAAUCCUCGACUAAAAAGGGGAAAGAUAAAGUCGACUUGAAAUAGCUCGGAAUUCCUAGUUUCUAUUUCUAUAGUCCGAAACUAGUUAUUAAUUGUUGUAAUAUUUAUUUAAUGUAUAUGCUAAGUGUUGAGGUGAGAAUUAUUAUGUUUUGCAAUUUAAAUGGAUUGAUUUAGUAUGUGAUGAAUUUAUUGAAUUUAUAUUGAUUGAAUUUGUAUAUAUAUAUAUUGAAUAUAUUGAUUAUUUGAAUUGAAAUGAAUAUUGGAUGUAUUUGAAAAGUGAAUUGGAACCCUAUUAACUGUAUCGGGCUGAGUCGGAUAUAGAUGGCAUGCCAUAAGAUUGGAAGAGUUCAGGAAUUUCUUUGACUUCGAGUCAAUGAGACACUGAGUGUCAAUUUACUACUUCGGAUUAAUUCGAUGAGGCAUUGGGUGCUAAUUUACUUCGGUUUAGCAGAUGAGACAUUGGGUGCCAAACUGGUGUGUUUUGGUUGGAUCCGUGUAUCCGUCUGAGUAUGGUAUGGGAAAUGGAAGUGAAAUAGUGAAUUAAAAAUAGAAUGUGAAAUAUGUUGCAAAUAUAUGGAAAAUAUCAGUUAUAUAUUCAUGAAAUGACUAUUGCAAAUAUAUGGAAAAUAUCAGUUAUAUAUUCAUGAAAUGACUAUGGAAUGGAUAUUGCAAUUGUAUAAUGAAAUGUGAAAUAAAUUGUGAAAAGCUAUUUAUAUAGCAAGUAUAAGAAUUGAGAUAUUUGUGAAACAAAUGAAAUAUGAUAUGGUUGUUGUAAUAAUUAAAUAUUAAUAUGUGUUUAUAUUUAAAUUGUAUAUUUGUAAUUUCUUAUCUUUAAAUAUUCGGAUUAUAGAAAUACCAUUGAGUUUAUACUCAACUUUCGAUUUAUUUUUCCAUGCGCAGGUUAGGUACUUAAGUUUGAUCGCGAUUUAGCAUUCAACAACGAUCCCAAACUCAAAUGUGGUGAUGUUUAUCCUUUGUGUCGGUAUGUACCUAGGGUGUUUAAAUAAUAGUUAUUUUUUGGUUUGAUUGUCAAUGAGGUUGUAAGUUUAAUUUUGGUUGGUUUUAUACAUAUAAAUAUGUGUUUGAUUGUUGAAGUUAUAUUAUGGCAUGGUAAAUUGAACUAAAUCUAGAUAGGUGCAUGUGAAUUUAAUUUUAUGUUUAAGUGCUCAUGAACUAGGCAAAUUGAUUUGGAUUUGGUAUGUUUAUAAUUUGGAUUAAAAUAAUGCUUUGAUGACUUGUUUUGAUGAUAUGAAAUUUAUGUCUGCUUGAUCUGUAAACUCCGGUAAUACUCUGUAACCCAAUUCUAGCGAGGGAUACGGGUUGGGGGUGUUACAAACUGAGUUUAUAUUUCACUUUAAUUGAGGUUCAUCUAGUUCGACUAUUAUUUCAAAUUGCUUCAGCUAUAAAAGCAAAAUUCAAUCAAACUCAAGUUGAGCUUGGAGCCUUGCAUUUCAGAUCGAGUUUCGAAUGGUUUGAGCUCGACUACACCUUGUAAAUUGACCUACCCUUUCGAUUCAGAUUACAUUACUCACUUGCAAAAUCAAAAAUAUACAUACAUAUUGAUACUAAAAGAGAGCAAAAAAGUUGAACCAGAUCAUUUUAACUUGAAAUAAGAUUAUGUCCAAGACAAUAACGUCCAUAACUUUUGCAGCAAUUAUUAGGAAAUUACUAACCAAAUUAUUGUCGCAUCACGAAUAUGAAUUGCCUAAAAGUUUACAAGCAAACUAAAAGCAUCCAAAUAAACAUUCAAAAAAAGCAUUUUUAACAUUCUGUUCCACUAUAAUUGUUAGUAUUUAACAAUAAUUCAUCAAAAUGAAAUACAAAAAGAGAAGAAAAAACAUGCAAUUGAUUCAUUAGAUCAAUUAUUAGAGAAGGGUAAAUAGAGAAAAUAUACCAUAAUGGGUCAAAAUUCAAGCUAAUCAAUGAUUUAUAUAAGAAAAAAAGGUUUUUUUUUACCCCAAGAAAAAGGGGGAAAACAAAAUUGAUUUCUAUUGGAAGAAAAAAGAAAGGGAAGAAAACAAAAUCAUGCCCACUAAUCCCAUUUGAACAAAUAACGUAUGAGCUUAAAGGCUUUAAAUUUUUAAUCAUUAGUUGUGUCUCAGCCACCACCACCACCAUUACCAUAUCUUAAUUAUUCCAUUACCACUAACAAAAAUCUAGCUUGCACAGUUCAAGGAAGAUGAAACUUAAAAAUAAUAAAAACCAUAAAAAAAACUAAAAAAAGAGGGAUUAACCAGUAACCAAUUAGGCUAAAACAAUAUGUUGCUACUAAAAAACAAUCACAUAUUUCUUCCUUUUUUUUAAUUGUUACCUUCGAGAGAGGAAGAUGAACACCAUCGUUGAUUGGUGCAGUGCAAAUUUUGACAAUGAAAGGCGAAAAGGAGGAAAAUUAAAGGUGAAUGCCGACGACUAGUGUUGAGAACCAUUGCUGGCCGGCGGCAAACACUAGAUCAAAGUGGGAAGGAAGGGGGAAAGGGAAAGAGGCUUUGGGUUACUUUACUGCUGAAGAAAAUUUUUUUGGAAAAUAUCUUACCAAAUGAAAACUGUAAGACAUUUUCCUAAAAUAAAACCUUCUUUUUUCGUAUUUUGGAGAAGGUUUUACGAUGGGAAUUCAUUUUCCAUCAAACAAAUAGUAAAAAAAGAUAAAAAUAUUUUUCGUAAAUUAUUUUACAGCUAAAUAAACACAGUCUUACACAAAAUAAGAUAUAAUUGAUGAGAUAAAAUUAUAAAAAUCAUAGAUAAACUAAACCUCUUUCUACCUAAAAUUAUUUGUUACAUUGGCUUUUGAAGUUUGGAAGAGGCAUAAAUUGGUACUAAAUUACAUUAAAUUCAACUUGCUUAUAAUUAUUUUAUAUCCAAGCUUAGUUUUAAUAUAUUUAAUAUAUUACUAAUUCAUGUUUUAAUCAUUUCAUUGAUGCCACAUUGUUUAUUAUGAGUGUCGACAUGUGUGGGUCUAGUCCCGUGAAUCUUAUUGUAUUUAGCGUAGGUAGAGAUUCCAUUGCCAAUAGCUAGAACAUCCCCAAAAAGAAAACAGAAAAAGCUGUCUGGAUCUCAGUAAUAGGGUUGAUGGCAACGAAUGGGUAUGAAGGUGGGUUGAAGACGAUUGAGGAACUGACCACAAAUGCUGAGCAAAUUCAAGACGAGGUAUUGAGGGAAAUACUAAGUCGAUAUGCAGGAACAGAGUAUUUAAUUCCUCCAUGGUCAAACCGAGAAGCAGCUCUUUAAGAAAAAUGUUCCCAUAGUUACGUAUGAAGAUCUUAAGCCUUACAUAGAUAGGAUUGCUAAUGGGGAGACAUCAGAUAUCCUUUUAGGUGAACCCGUUACAGGGUUCUAUCUAAGGCAUGCAUGAAUGUGUUGUGUUGCUUCUGUGUGUUUUGGGGUAUUGGUUGCUUCCUUCUAAUUGCUCUAUUAUCUUUUUUUUCAAAUGCAGUUCUGGGACUUCAGGUGGGCAGCCAAAGCUGAUGCCUGUUACUGCUGAAUUUGCUAAUAAGUGGGAAUUAUUUCGUGGCUUGUACGAGUCUUCUGUGAUAAAGUAAGGAACCCAUCCCUAUUUUCUUCUAGUUUUUCUUUCAGCUGCUUGUGAAUAUAUGUAUAUAAGUUACCAUAUUAAGCAAAUACAUAUAAUAUGAAUAUAUGUAUCAUAUACCACGCAGAUAGUAACACCCGUAUUUAGUAAAUACUACUUGUCCAUAUAUAGGUAUAAUAUAAAUAGUUGCUUUUCUUGCUUUUUGCAUUUACAACGGCGACUUAGUCCUAAAACUAACUAUUUGCCUUUAUCCGUCUAAUUUUAAAGGCACUUUGGUGACAUCAACCAAGUCGGUAAAAGACUGGAGCUUAUGUUUGCCAGACCAGAGAUUGAAACUGCUAGUGGCCUCAAGGCAGCAUCUGUUUCAACCAGCAUAUACAACGAGUGUAAUUUUAGAACUAUUUUGCCUAAGCUUUACACAAGCCCCAUUGAGACCAUCUUUUGCCCAGACCCCAACCAGGGCUUAUACUGUCAAUUACUUCUUGGUUUAAUCCAACGAGACGAGGUUAUCACGGUUGGUUCAAUCUUUGCAUCUACGGUGUUAAGAGGUAUCAAGUUUCUAGAAAAUCACUGGCAAGAGCUAUGCUAUGACAUAAAAACAGGUCGAUUAAGUGAUUGGAUCACCGACUCAGGAUGCAGAAAUGCAGCAUCAUUGGUCAUGAAGCCUAAUCCAGAACAGGCUGAUUUGAUAGAAAAUAUAUGUAAUUGUAAAUCAUGGGAAGGAAUAAUCAGAAAGCUAUGGCCUAAAGCAAGGUAUAUUUGUUGCAUAUGUACUGGCAUUAUGAGACAGUAUACUAUAGAACUCGAGUUCUAUUGCAGAGGGCUCCCUUUAGUUUCAGAUCUAUAUGCUUGCUCGGAAGCUAUUUGUGGGAUUAACUUAGAACCUCUAUGUAAACCUUGUGAUGUCUCCUAUACAUUUCUCCCUAACAUGGCUUACUUUGAAUUCCUUCCUGUGGAAAAUGAUCACGAUGAAUCUAUUGAAAUGAAGAGGAACGAUGAAGAUACUGAACUUGUUGAUCUUGUAAAUGUGAA